GUGACCGAACCCAAAGUGGUGGCGGGGCUGGUUUGUGAAACCAGUAUUAACGAGUUCGACUCUCGUCGGUCACACCA
Molecule: transfer RNA, 77 nt
Filed under: Leptolyngbya sp. SIOISBB
Lineage: Bacteria; Bacillati; Cyanobacteriota; Cyanophyceae; Leptolyngbyales; Leptolyngbyaceae
Also listed under: 1 other name
Description: tRNA-His
Rfam family: tRNA
About the family: Transfer RNA (tRNA) molecules are approximately 80 nucleotides in length. Their secondary structure includes four short double-helical elements and three loops (D, anti-codon, and T loops). Further hydrogen bonds mediate the characteristic L-shaped molecular structure. tRNAs have two regions of fundamental functional importance: the anti-codon, which is responsible for specific mRNA codon recognition, and the 3' end, to which the tRNAs corresponding amino acid is attached (by aminoacyl-tRNA synthetases). tRNAs cope with the degeneracy of the genetic code in two manners: having more than one tRNA (with a specific anti-codon) for a particular amino acid; and 'wobble' base-pairing, i.e. permitting non-standard base-pairing at the 3rd anti-codon position.
Source: RNAcentral